GGGUUGUGAGGUUAAGCGACUAAGCGUACACGGUGGAUGCCCUGGCAGUCAGAGGCGAUGAAGGACGUGCUAAUCUGCGAUAAGCGUCGGUAAGGUGAUAUGAACCGUUAUAACCGGCGAUUUCCGAAUGGGGAAACCCAGUGUGAUUCGUCACACUAUCAUUAACUGAAUCCAUAGGUUAAUGAGGCGAACCGGGGGAACUGAAACAUCUAAGUACCCCGAGGAAAAGAAAUCAACCGAGAUUCCCCCAGUAGCGGCGAGCGAACGGGGAGCAGCCCAGAGCCUGAAUCAGUGUGUGUGUUAGUGGAAGCGUCUGGAAAGGCGCGCGAUACAGGGUGACAGCCCCGUACACAAAAAUGCACAUGCUGUGAGCUCGAUGAGUAGGGCGGGA
RNAcentral lists this ribosomal RNA (391 nucleotides) under Escherichia coli. RNAcentral's name for it is "partial 23S ribosomal RNA". It matches the Rfam family "Bacterial large subunit ribosomal RNA", at positions 1 to 422 of the family's 2925-position model. The record is from RNAcentral. Lineage: Bacteria; Pseudomonadati; Pseudomonadota; Gammaproteobacteria; Enterobacterales; Enterobacteriaceae.